RNAcentral lists this long non-coding RNA (1435 nucleotides) under Medicago truncatula (barrel medic). RNAcentral describes it as "long non-coding RNA (MTRU_LNC004390)". The record is from RNAcentral. Lineage: Eukaryota; Viridiplantae; Streptophyta; Magnoliopsida; Fabales; Fabaceae.
UGGCAUUAUAGCACUGCCGCAUAGCGGAAUUUGAACAAACCACUAUUUUUGCGAUCUUCGGUUGAGAACAAUGUGUAGUACAACUGAAUGCACAGGAGACGAGGAUUUCAAAAGAGGAUAAUGUUAAUUAUGCCCCAACCGAGAUACAGCGAGUUGUUUGCUGCAGGGCUGGUUAAUAAAGGAAAAAACUGUCCUUGGAAUAAGAAUAAUGCUUAUAACACACUCUUUAACGCAUACUUUCAAACACUUUUUUAUUGAUUAAAAUUCAUAUGGGUCCCGUUCCACCAAAUUUAUAUGGGACCCACAUGAUUCGGUGGAACCCAUGUGAAUUUCAAUCAAUAAAAAAAGUGUCUCUUCGAAAGAAUGUGUUUGAGAGUUUGUUUCUAGCACUCCUCUUGGAAUAAACUAAGGCAUUGCCUUCAUUAAGAAACUAUUUUUAUAAUGGUUCAAUUUCAUUCAAGAACCAUGCAAUUAGUGCUUCAGAAUCCCAAUCAGCAAACUUCUCUAAAUGAAUAUUACAAAAUAUGCAAACAUUAAAAUUACUCCAAUGUACAAACACCUACUAACUUCGUAUAUAACACUGAUUAUUCUUUAUGUUGGGUUUAUGUAUCAAGAAAAUGGUACAGUUCAAAUUGUCCAUAGCAAGAAGCCAAGAACAAGACUACUCAUGAGAAAAGGGCUAUUCUUGAUUACCCAUUUGAACAGUCACCAAAGAAAAUAUAGCAUUUCACAUUUGGAAUCGAGCACAUUCUAAAGAAACGAUAUGUGAGUAACAAUUACCAGUUAUAUGUGUCAUGACCCUUUCCUAAUCUGUACAUACAAAAUGUCAAAAAAUGAACCAUUCAACAUAAGUUAUGCAAAACAAAACCACAAACGUCUGAAACAGCAACUAUUUAAGCCCUUUUGUAUCGAUAAACCGCUUAACUAAGCACUUAUAGCAUAAACGCUUAUCAUAUAAAUGUUGAUGUACAAUCUAUAAGCUACAAGCUACCACAUAGAGAUUAUGGAAAUAAGCUGAAAAACAGCUUAUGGUUAUGUCAAAAGAUGUUCCUGUAAGCAUUGUAUCACAAGUCUUUAUAUCAUACAUAAGCUCAAACAAGUCAAUCACAUUAAUACAUUACUUCUAUUACUAAGUUCCAUGCACAUGUAUUACUAAUAACAGCACAAAAUCACUCCCACAAUUACCAACAAAUCAAGCACUCAACUUUUGAAUUAAAAACUCACAGUUUUAGCAUUAAAUUAUGAAGAAACAAUUAAAAAUUAAGUUUUUUUUUUUUUUUGUCAGGUAGCCUAGUGGCUCACAUUUUAAAUGUGCCCCUGUCCGGGGUUCGAACCCCGGGCAACUGAGCUAAGCUCACUGGGACAUUAAAAAUUAAGUUAUAAUACAUUAAAUGAUAGUAUAAAUAAUUUUAACAAGACUUGUACAAUAUUUGAA